RNAcentral lists this ribosomal RNA (497 nucleotides) under uncultured bacterium. RNAcentral's name for it is "partial 16S ribosomal RNA". It matches the Rfam family "Bacterial small subunit ribosomal RNA", at positions 28 to 507 of the family's 1533-position model. The record is from RNAcentral.
GACGAACGCUGGCGGCGUGCCUAAUACAUGCAAGUAGAACGCUGAAGAGAGGAGCUUGCUCUUCUUGGAUGAGUUGCGAACGGGUGAGUAACGCGUAGGUAACCUGCCUGGUAGCGGGGGAUAACUAUUGGAAACGAUAGCUAAUACCGCAUAAAAUGGAUUAUCGCAUGAUAAUCCAUUGAAAGGUGCAAAUGCAUCACUACCAGAUGGACCUGCGUUGUAUUAGCUAGUUGGUGGGGUAACGGCUCACCAAGGCGACGAUACAUAGCCGACCUGAGAGGGUGAUCGGCCACACUGGGACUGAGACACGGCCCAGACUCCUACGGGAGGCAGCAGUAGGGAAUCUUCGGCAAUGGACGGAAGUCUGACCGAGCAACGCCGCGUGAGUGAAGAAGGUUUUCGGAUCGUAAAGCUCUGUUGUAAGAGAAGAACGAAUGUGAGAGUGGAAAGUUCACACUGUGACGGUAUCUGACCAGAAAGGGACGGCUAACUACGUG